AGUCGCGUCCCGUCGCUAGGCAACGAGCGCGCGCGCCUCAGAACCCGAGACGGCGCACUGCACAAGGGCAGGGCGCGCGGAGGGAUGAGAAAACCAAGGCUCAGAGAGACCGGAUGACUUGUUGAAGAUCACACAGCUAUAAGCGGCAGCACCAGGACUGGAACUAGAUAACUGUACCUUCCAACUUCACAAUAGCACAGCUUGCUGGGUCCUUAGAGCCCCUCUUGGGACCUCCAGCCUGCGAAAUUAUUUCCUCCCUAGAGAUG
Leptonychotes weddellii (Weddell seal) is the source of this 266-nucleotide non-coding RNA. The record is from RefSeq and is a predicted model, not a curated record. NCBI's taxonomy places the organism in Eukaryota, Metazoa, Chordata, Mammalia, Carnivora, Phocidae.